GUUAUUGGGUAUCAAAACCUAAUAGCGAAAUUAACAUAACUUAUAUGGGAUUAGUUUUUAGAUUAUUUAUAGUCUAUUAAUUCAAUCCCGGGGCGUUCUAUUUGGUUAUGUAUAAUAAUAUUUAUAUUAUUUAUACCUCUAACUAGAGCGUACCUUGAGCAUAUAUGCUGUGACCCGAAAGAUGGUGAACUAUACUUGAUCAGGUUGAAGUCAGGGGAAACCCUGAUGGAAGACCGAAACAGUUCUGACGUGCAAAUCGAUUGUCAGAAUUGAGUAUAGGGGCGAAAGACCAAUCGAACCAUCUAGUAGCUGGUUCCCUCCGAAGUUUCCCUCAGGAUAGCUGGUGCAUUUAGAAAUUAUGUAAAAUAAUCUUAUCUGGUAAAGCGAAUGAUUAGAGGCCUUAGGGUCGAAACGACCUUAACCUAUUCUCAAACUUUAAAUGGGUAAGAACCUCACCUUUCUUGGUAUGAAGGUUGUGGUUGUGAUAUAAUGUGCCCAGUGGGCCACUUUUGGUAAGCAGAACUGGCGCUGUGGGAUGAACCAAACGUAAUGUUACGGUGCCCAAAUUAACAACUCAUGCAGAUACCAUGAAAGGCGUUGGUUGCUUAAAACAGCAGGACGGUGGACAUGGAAGUCGUAAUCC
Molecule: ribosomal RNA, 643 nt
Filed under: Ravinia vagabunda
Lineage: Eukaryota; Metazoa; Arthropoda; Insecta; Diptera; Sarcophagidae
Description: eukaryotic LSU rRNA
Rfam family: Eukaryotic large subunit ribosomal RNA
Source: RNAcentral